GCUGCCGUUGUCUCGUCUUCAUGUAGGAGUCGCACUUUGGCGCUCUGAUUUCAAGGGCGAAGUUCAAAGGACCUUCUUAACUGGCCCCGUGGCUUUGGUCAGGGCUCUGCUAAUAAGCAAUGGAAAGGAAGAUGCCCAGCUGGGAGAAAGGGCUAAGAGCACUGCAAAACCCCAGCGCUGGACUUCGUUUGUCCGGUGAACCAUGCAGAGCACAGGAAGACGAUCCUAAGCUGCUGGGAGCCCCCGUGAAGUCAGAGCUGCGUGUCCAGUCUGCCCACUGAGACUAAACAGACGCCAGCUGCAGCACAGGAGGUGAAGAAAUUGGACAGAAUGGCUCCAACACCUGCUCCGAAUCACCCAAUGCAGAGACAGUGCUGAGAUUUGGUUCCGGAAGUCUAGCUCUACAGCCUGAAUCCCUUGCCUUUGUCCUCAUGACACAUUUUUUGCCUCAAAAGUGAUAGGAAUAAAGCAGAAUACUUCAAUGGAGGAGAACAAAGGCUAAACCCAGUUUCCACCUAUGACAGCUAAAAAUCAAGGUCAAUCCCAGGUGAAUGUCCCUCUGCCAUGCUGUCCUGCCUUGGAGCCAGCUGAU
This is a long non-coding RNA of Chinchilla lanigera (long-tailed chinchilla), 592 nucleotides long. RefSeq lists it as uncharacterized. The transcript has 6 exons. Lineage: Eukaryota; Metazoa; Chordata; Mammalia; Rodentia; Chinchillidae. The record is from RefSeq and is a predicted model, not a curated record.